UCUUAGUANCGGCGAGCGAAAAUAUCAUUAACGUUAUACGGGCCUGGCACCCUCUAUGGGUAAAUGGCCUCAUUUAAGAAGGACUUAAAUCGUUAAUUUCUCAUACUAGAAUAUUGAUGUUCCAUACACUGCAUCUCACAUUUGCCAUAUAGACAAAGUGACUUAGUGACUGAACUGAUUUCUUUUCGCUCGCCGCUACUAAGA
RNAcentral lists this ribosomal RNA (204 nucleotides) under Dettopsomyia nigrovittata. RNAcentral describes it as "partial 28S ribosomal RNA". Lineage: Eukaryota; Metazoa; Arthropoda; Insecta; Diptera; Drosophilidae. The record is from RNAcentral.